RNAcentral lists this ribosomal RNA (253 nucleotides) under uncultured bacterium. RNAcentral describes it as "partial 16S ribosomal RNA". It matches the Rfam family "Bacterial small subunit ribosomal RNA", at positions 524 to 776 of the family's 1533-position model. The record is from RNAcentral.
UACGAAGGGGGCUAGCGUUGUUCGGAAUUACUGGGCGUAAAGGGCUCGUAGGUGGCCAACUAAGUCAGACGUGAAAUCCCCAGGCUCAACUUGGAAACUGCGUCCGAUACUAUUCGGCUAGAGGAAUGGAGGGGAGACUGGAAUACUUGGUGUAGCAGUGAAAUGCGUAGAUAUCAAGUGGAACACCGGUGGCGAAAGCGGCUCACUGGGUAUUUUCUGACGCUGAUGCACGAAAGCUAGGGGAGCAAACGGG